GAACGCUGGCGGCAUGCCUAACACAUGCAAGUCGAACGGUAACGGACCGCUGGGAUUCCUUCGGGAUGACCUUGGUGCCGACGAGUGGCGGACGGGUGAGUAAUACUUAGGAAUCUGCCCAGUAGUGGGGGACAACAUUCGGAAACGGAUGCUAAUACCGCAUACGCCCUACGGGGGAAAGCGGGGGAUCUUCGGACCUCGCGCUAUUGGAUGAGCCUAAGUCGGAUUAGCUUGUUGGUGAGGUAAUAGCUCACCAAGGCGACGAUCCGUAGCUGGUCUGAGAGGACGAUCAGCCACACUGGGACUGAGACACGGCCCAGACUCCUACGGGAGGCAGCAGUGGGGAAUAUUGGACAAUGGGCGCAAGCCUGAUCCAGCAAUGCCGCGUGUGUGAAGAAGGCCUGCGGGUUGUAAAGCACUUUCAGUAGAGAAGAAAAGCCCAGGGUUAAUACCCCUGAGUCUUGACGUAACCUACAGAAGAAGCACCGGCUAACUCCGUG
Molecule: ribosomal RNA, 500 nt
Filed under: uncultured bacterium
Lineage: Bacteria
Description: bacterial SSU rRNA
Rfam family: Bacterial small subunit ribosomal RNA
Source: RNAcentral